RNAcentral lists this ribosomal RNA (253 nucleotides) under uncultured bacterium. RNAcentral describes it as "partial 16S ribosomal RNA". It matches the Rfam family "Bacterial small subunit ribosomal RNA", at positions 524 to 776 of the family's 1533-position model. The record is from RNAcentral.
GACAGAGGAUGCAAGCGUUAUCCGGAAUGAUUGGGCGUAAAGCGUCUGUAGGUGGCUUUUUAAGUCUGCCGUCAAAUCCCAGGGCUUAACCCUGGACAGGCGGUGGAAACUACCAAGCUGGAGUACGGUAGGGGCAGAGGGAAUUUCUGGUGUAGCGGUGAAAUGCGUAGAGAUCAGGAAGAACAUCGGUGGCGAAGGCGCUCUGCUGGACCAUAACUGACACUCAGGGACGAAAGCUAGGGGAGCGAAUGGG